Long non-coding RNA from Zingiber officinale, 675 nucleotides. RefSeq lists it as uncharacterized. The transcript is spliced from 6 exons. The record is from RefSeq and is a predicted model, not a curated record. Lineage: Eukaryota; Viridiplantae; Streptophyta; Magnoliopsida; Zingiberales; Zingiberaceae.
ACCAAGGGCAUCGGCGUUGGAUCAGGCCAGCAUCGAUUGUUUGGAGGAGGUGGUUCUUUCUGGGAAGCAGAGACUGGUAUUUUGGUCCCAGCCACCACAGCUCUGUUGGAUUGAUCUCUUCUUCGUAUCAGUGAUCGUCUCCGGUGAUUGAAGGGUGCAGAGAGGAUGCGAUGUGCUUAUUUUAGAUACUGGAUUGGGAAGUGCAGAGAAUCAAGCAAGGGUCAAGGAGUUGCUUCAUGUGGAGGAAUCAAAACUAGAGGAGGAUGAGGGAAAUACCACUCCAGCAGUGAGAUGGGUUCGAGAUGAUAAAUAUGAUUGCAUCCGAUUAAAGCAUUGCAAGGUUGUGACAAAAAUUGAUUGGCAUCGGAAAGGAGACUAUUUCACUACUGUCGUUCCUAGUGAUAUCCUAAUUAUGAAUUUUAGUUGUACUUAUUUUUAGUCAUUCCUAGUGCCUAUUUUAUAUCUCAGUUUUGUUUCUUUCUUUUUUCUAAUACACACUGACAAAUUGGAAAUAUAUAAAAAUCAUGACAUUAUACCUAGUUACCUAGCCUUUGAGGCUGGAAUCAGGAUGAAACCUAAAGUGCCCUGAAAAGUUUAGGCAUACCAAAUUCUCUCAGUUUAAUGACAGAGGUGUUUUAGAUUGUAAAUUUCAUCCGAGGCAGCCAUGGCUAUUCA